Molecule: long non-coding RNA, 1631 nt
Filed under: Homo sapiens (human)
Lineage: Eukaryota; Metazoa; Chordata; Mammalia; Primates; Hominidae
Description: HSALNT0399183
Source: RNAcentral
GAACGCAGGGGGAAGGGGAGAGGAAGAAGAGAUGAUGGUACAAAAAUAGCGUGUGUGUAGGAAGGACUUCGGUGCCGCCUGGAAAAGAGGCGCGGGGAGGAGAGGGAGCGAGAAGGGGGCUGUGGCGCGCAACCAGAGGGGAAGGGUCGGGGCCUUCCCAGGGAGGUGGAGGCCCCCUGGCCAGGUGUCUCGGUGGUGGAGGGCGGACUGGGCGGGUGGGAGGCCCAGGCCGGGGCGUGUGUGGGAGAGCGGGGCCCUGAAGGCCUGGGUUCCGGGAGAAGGACAAGCCCUGAGGAAGAUGAGGGGAAGGGGAGCCGGGGCCAGAGGCCUGGAGUUGGAGAGGACAGAACCCCGGUUUUCCCGGAGGGAACGCCGUUCCUGUAGUAGCCAGGUCAGUGAUGGGGAGUGCCAGUGUCGUGGUCACCUGGCAGAAGGCUCCGCACUGUGGGAGGAACACAAGUUCAAGACCCCGCUGCUAAUGGGAGAGAAUUUUGGUUCACACAGUGGCGGUUAAGAGGACAGGAAUGACACAAGGUCCUUUGAGAUACAUUAUCUCACUGAAGCCUCAGCAACUCCGCGGUGUUCCCAGAGGUGAGGAAACACACUGAGAGACAGAACACGACUUGACCAGGGCCACCCUGUGGGGCACGCUGGCACCUGCACAGCCCAGCUUCACCUGGUUCCAGCCCUGCCCGCGCUCUGCUCCCCACUUCCCGUAACCCUGGGCUGGCGUCAGCAGGCAGGCCUGCCAGGAGGCUGGAGCUGCCAACGACCUAUUUUUCUGGGCAAGAAGAGCCAUUUGGAGUUAGAGGUCUCAGCUGUGAAGCCAGAACAAUAAAAAUAAAAACAGCACGGACUCCUGGGCAGCCUGGACCAGGGAACCAACUGCCCCAAGAGUUGCUGCUCACCAGGCUGGAAGGCAAGUGGGGUUGGGGGGAUGGGAGAUGGGAGUGACCUUACCGAGCCCCUGCUAUGUCCUCCGGCCCUUACAGAGUAAGGGUAAUCUCCAAGGUUCACAACAGGCCCUUUGUCUGGGUGGCCAGACCAGUCAGGAUUUGAACUCAGUUUUCCAAACAGUAACAAUUCCCAUCUGUUCAGCAGCUACUAUGCUUUACAGACUUGUGACAUUCAUACCACACCUGGGGGGGUGAGCUAAUCAUUCCCUCAUUCUACAGAUGAGGCAGCUGAGACUUCAGGAGGCCUCUGCUCACACGCCACCUCCUUGAGAGGCCUUGCCAGACCACCCUGUUAAAGUAGUCACCCUCACGCCUGCCCAAUAUGCCCUACCCUCUUCCCUAUUUUAUCUUCAUAGCAUGCAUCACGACCUGCUAAUAUUGUGUGUCUCCACUGCAUUUUGUCUGUCUCCCUAACUAGCUCCAGGUCAGUUUAUCCUAGUGGCUUGCACUCCAGCGGUCUCUCAGACUAGCCCCGUGGGGCAAGUUAUUUUGAUGAUCUGUGCUUCCUUCGGGGUAAUGAUAGGACCUUACCUGAAAGGUUUCUUGUGAGGGUUAAAUGAGUUAAUAUCGGUUAAGUGUUGGCCGCUGCCAUUGUUUUGUCCCAGAGCUGUAGCUCCAGGGUCUUUAACAGUAAACAAUAGGUUGUCAAUAAAUAUGUAUUAAAUUUAAAAACUG